This 405-nucleotide small RNA is filed under the name Malus domestica (apple). Its description in RNAcentral is "sRNA MD07G0109300". The record is from RNAcentral. Lineage: Eukaryota; Viridiplantae; Streptophyta; Magnoliopsida; Rosales; Rosaceae.
AUAGGUCGACCUUUGAUUGAUCAAAGGAGUGUGUCAUAGAGAGUUGUUCAUCUCCUAUUUCACCAAGGAGUGUGUUCAGCGGAGGGUGAACGGAGAAGAGACACAGAGGUCCAUAAGCAGGAGGUGGACGACCUAGGAAGCUAGGUUUUUAUCAGGACUCUGAUAGGAGUUAGUAGGAUUAGAGAAACUAUAAAAGGGGUUGCAGAGAAGUGGGAAAGCAUCAGAAAUCGAAAAGGGGUAGAGAAAUUGAGAGUUAGAGAACGUGAUUGUGAAGGAAGGAUUCAAAGAUUUGAAGGGGUUUGGUUCAAAAAGUCAAUUUCUUGUUAAUGUUGAGUCAUGUACAGAACCAGAAACCUAAAAGUCUACUUGCUGUCUGUUGUGUAAUUAUGUAGAAGAAAUAAAAAG